Molecule: ribosomal RNA, 468 nt
Filed under: uncultured bacterium
Lineage: Bacteria
Description: partial 16S ribosomal RNA
Rfam family: Bacterial small subunit ribosomal RNA
Source: RNAcentral
GACGAACGCUGGCGGCGUGCUUAACACAUGCAAGUCGAACGGAAAGGCCCUGCUUUUGUGGGGUGCUCGAGUGGCGAACGGGUGAGUAACACGUGAGUAACCUGCCCUUGACUUUGGGAUAACUUCAGGAAACUGGGGCUAAUACCGGACAGGAGCCCCUGCUGCAUGGUGGGGGGUGGAAAGUUUCGGCGGUUGGGGAUGGACGCGCGGCUUACCAGCUGGCUGGUGGGGUAGUGGCUUACCAAGGCUUUGACGGGUAGCCGACCUGAGAGGGUGACCGGCCACAUUAGGACUGAGGUACGGCCCAGACUCCUACGGGAGGCAGCGGUGGGAAAUAUUACACAAUGGGCGGGAGCGUGAUACAGCAACGCCGCGUGCGGAAUGACGGCCUUCGGGUUGUAAACCGCUGUCGCCUGUGACGAAGCGUGAGUGACGGUAAUGGGUAAAGAAGCACCGGCUAACUACGUG